UACGUAGGCAGCAAGCGUUGCUCGGAGUUACUGGGCGUAAAGGGUGCGUAGGCGGUCCUAUAAGUAUGGUGUGAAAUCUCCCGGCUUAACUGGGAGGGUGCGCUAUAGACUGUGGGACUAGAGUGUGGGAGAGGAAAGUGGAAUUCCUGGUGUAGCGGUGAAAUGCGUAGAUAUCAGGAGGAACACCGGUGGUGUAAACGGCUUUCUGGACCAUAACUGACGCUGAGGCACGAAAGCGUGGGUAGCAAACAGG
This 253-nucleotide ribosomal RNA is filed under the name uncultured bacterium. RNAcentral's name for it is "partial 16S ribosomal RNA". It matches the Rfam family "Bacterial small subunit ribosomal RNA", at positions 524 to 776 of the family's 1533-position model. The record is from RNAcentral.